This 937-nucleotide ribosomal RNA is filed under the name uncultured organism. Its description in RNAcentral is "bacterial SSU rRNA". It matches the Rfam family "Bacterial small subunit ribosomal RNA", at positions 462 to 1414 of the family's 1533-position model. The record is from RNAcentral.
AUGCGGUAUGACGGUACCCUUUCGAAUAAGAGGUUGCUAACUCUGUGCCAGCAGCAGCGGUAAUACAGAGACCUCGAGCGUUAUCCGGAUUUACUGGGCGUAAAGCGUCUGUAGGGGGUUUGUUAAGUUCCAAGUAAAAUCUUAAGGCUCAACUUUAAGUUCGCUUGGAAAACUAAUAAACUGGAGUCCAGCAGAGGUGCAUGGAACUUGCGGUGUAGGAGUGAAAUCCGUUGAUAUCGCAAGGAACACCAAAGGCGAAGGCAUUGCACUGGGCUGGUACUGACCCUGAGAGACGAAAGCGUGGGGAGCAAAACGGAUUAGAUACCCGUGUAGUCCACGCCGUAAACGAUGGAUACUAGAUGUUCGGGGAUUCGACCCCCUGGGUGUCACAGCUAACGCGUUAAGUAUCCCGCCUGGGAAGUACGGCCGCAAGGCUAAAACUCAAAGGAAUAGACGGGGAUCCGCACAAGCGGUGGAGCGUUUGGUUUAAUUUGAUAGUAAGCAAUGGACCUCACCAAGGUUUGACAUCCUAUGACAACCCUGGAAACAGGGCUUCCUUCGGGCAUAGUGACAGGUGCUGCAUGGUCGUCGUCAGUUCGUGCCGUGAGGUGUUCCGUUAAGUCGGGAAACGAACGAAACCCUCGUCGCAUGUUACAAAUUUCAUGCGAGACUGCCCGGGUCAACCGGGAGGAAGGCGGGGAUGACGUCAGAUCAGCAUGGCCCUUAUACCUUGGGCUACACAGGCGCUACAAUGGCCGGUACAAAGGGUUGCAAAACCGCGAGGUGAAGCUAAUCCCAUAAAGCCGGUCCAAGUUCGGAUUGGAGGCUGCAACUCGCCUCCAUGAAGUUGGAAUCGCUAGUAAUCGUGGAUCAGCCAUACCACGGUGAAUACGUUCCCGGAUCUUGUACUCACCGCCCGUCACACCAAGAGAGUUGG